This 508-nucleotide ribosomal RNA is filed under the name uncultured bacterium. RNAcentral describes it as "partial 16S ribosomal RNA". It matches the Rfam family "Bacterial small subunit ribosomal RNA", at positions 28 to 523 of the family's 1533-position model. The record is from RNAcentral.
GAUGAACGCUAGCUACAGGCUUAACACAUGCAAGUCGCGGGGAAACGAUAUUGGAAGCUUGCUUCCGAUAGGCGUCGACCGGCGCACGGGUGAGUAACGCGUAUCCAACCUGCCCAUCACUUGGGGAUAAGCUUGCGAAAGUAAGACUACUACCCAAUGAUAUCCGUCGAAGACACCUGAAAGAGAUUAAAGAUUUAUCGGUGAUGGAUGGGGAUGCGUCUGAUUAGCUUGUUGGCGGGGUAACGGCCCACCAAGGCGACGAUCAGUAGGGGUUCUGAGAGGAAGGUCCCCCACAUUGGAACUGAGACACGGUCCAAACUCCUACGGGAGGCAGCAGUGAGGAAUAUUGGUCAAUGGGCGAGAGCCUGAACCAGCCAAGUAGCGUGCAGGAUGACGGCCCUAUGGGUUGUAAACUGCUUUUAUAAGGGAAUAAAGUGAGUCUCGUGAGACUUUUUGCAUGUACCUCAUGAAUAAGGACCGGCUAAUUCCGUGCCAGCCGCCGCGGUAA